RNAcentral lists this ribosomal RNA (2905 nucleotides) under Escherichia coli. RNAcentral's name for it is "23S ribosomal RNA". It matches the Rfam family "Bacterial large subunit ribosomal RNA". The record is from RNAcentral. Lineage: Bacteria; Pseudomonadati; Pseudomonadota; Gammaproteobacteria; Enterobacterales; Enterobacteriaceae.
GGUUAAGCGACUAAGCGUACACGGUGGAUGCCCUGGCAGUCAGAGGCGAUGAAGGACGUGCUAAUCUGCGAUAAGCGUCGGUAAGGUGAUAUGAACCGUUAUAACCGGCGAUUUCCGAAUGGGGAAACCCAGUGUGAUUCGUCACACUAUCAUUAACUGAAUCCAUAGGUUAAUGAGGCGAACCGGGGGAACUGAAACAUCUAAGUACCCCGAGGAAAAGAAAUCAACCGAGAUUCCCCCAGUAGCGGCGAGCGAACGGGGAGCAGCCCAGAGCCUGAAUCAGUGUGUGUGUUAGUGGAAGCGUCUGGAAAGGCGCGCGAUACAGGGUGACAGCCCCGUACACAAAAAUGCACAUACUGUGAGCUCGAUGAGUAGGGCGGGACACGUGGUAUCCUGUCUGAAUAUGGGGGGACCAUCCUCCAAGGCUAAAUACUCCUGACUGACCGAUAGUGAACCAGUACCGUGAGGGAAAGGCGAAAAGAACCCCGGCGAGGGGAGUGAAAAAGAACCUGAAACCGUGUACGUACAAGCAGUGGGAGCCUCUUAAUGGGGUGACUGCGUACCUUUUGUAUAAUGGGUCAGCGACUUAUAUUCUGUAGCAAGGUUAACCGAAUAGGGGAGCCGAAGGGAAACCGAGUCUUAACUGGGCGUUAAGUUGCAGGGUAUAGACCCGAAACCCGGUGAUCUAGCCAUGGGCAGGUUGAAGGUUGGGUAACACUAACUGGAGGACCGAACCGACUAAUGUUGAAAAAUUAGCGGAUGACUUGUGGCUGGGGGUGAAAGGCCAAUCAAACCGGGAGAUAGCUGGUUCUCCCCGAAAGCUAUUUAGGUAGCGCCUCGUGAAUUCAUCUCCGGGGGUAGAGCACUGUUUCGGCAAGGGGGUCAUCCCGACUUACCAACCCGAUGCAAACUGCGAAUACCGGAGAAUGUUAUCACGGGAGACACACGGCGGGUGCUAACGUCCGUCGUGAAGAGGGAAACAACCCAGACCGCCAGCUAAGGUCCCAAAGUCAUGGUUAAGUGGGAAACGAUGUGGGAAGGCCCAGACAGCCAGGAUGUUGGCUUAGAAGCAGCCAUCAUUUAAAGAAAGCGUAAUAGCUCACUGGUCGAGUCGGCCUGCGCGGAAGAUGUAACGGGGCUAAACCAUGCACCGAAGCUGCGGCAGCGACGCUUAUGCGUUGUUGGGUAGGGGAGCGUUCUGUAAGCCUGUGAAGGUGUACUGUGAGGUAUGCUGGAGGUAUCAGAAGUGCGAAUGCUGACAUAAGUAACGAUAAAGCGGGUGAAAAGCCCGCUCGCCGGAAGACCAAGGGUUCCUGUCCAACGUUAAUCGGGGCAGGGUGAGUCGACCCCUAAGGCGAGGCCGAAAGGCGUAGUCGAUGGGAAACAGGUUAAUAUUCCUGUACUUGGUGUUACUGCGAAGGGGGGACGGAGAAGGCUAUGUUGGCCGGGCGACGGUUGUCCCGGUUUAAGCGUGUAGGCUGGUUUUCCAGGCAAAUCCGGAAAAUCAAGGCUGAGGCGUGAUGACGAGGCACUACGGUGCUGAAGCAACAAAUGCCCUGCUUCCAGGAAAAGCCUCUAAGCAUCAGGUAACAUCAAAUCGUACCCCAAACCGACACAGGUGGUCAGGUAGAGAAUACCAAGGCGCUUGAGAGAACUCGGGUGAAGGAACUAGGCAAAAUGGUGCCGUAACUUCGGGAGAAGGCACGCUGAUAUGUAGGUGAAGCGACUUGCUCGUGGAGCUGAAAUCAGUCGAAGAUACCAGCUGGCUGCAACUGUUUAUUAAAAACACAGCACUGUGCAAACACGAAAGUGGACGUAUACGGUGUGACGCCUGCCCGGUGCCGGAAGGUUAAUUGAUGGGGUUAGCGGUAACGCGAAGCUCUUGAUCGAAGCCCCGGUAAACGGCGGCCGUAACUAUAACGGUCCUAAGGUAGCGAAAUUCCUUGUCGGGUAAGUUCCGACCUGCACGAAUGGCGUAAUGAUGGCCAGGCUGUCUCCACCCGAGACUCAGUGAAAUUGAACUCGCUGUGAAGAUGCAGUGUACCCGCGGCAAGACGGAAAGACCCCGUGAACCUUUACUAUAGCUUGACACUGAACAUUGAGCCUUGAUGUGUAGGAUAGGUGGGAGGCUUUGAAGUGUGGACGCCAGUCUGCAUGGAGCCGGCCUUGAAAUACCACCCUUUAAUGUUUGAUGUUCUAACGUUGGCCCGUAAUCCGGGUUGCGGACAGUGUCUGGUGGGUAGUUUGACUGGGGCGGUCUCCUCCUAAAGAGUAACGGAGGAGCACGAAGGUUGGCUAAUCCUGGUCGGACAUCAGGAGGUUAGUGCAAUGGCAUAAGCCAGCUUGACUGCGAGCGUGACGGCGCGAGCAGGUGCGAAAGCAGGUCAUAGUGAUCCGGUGGUUCUGAAUGGAAGGGCCAUCGCUCAACGGAUAAAAGGUACUCCGGGGAUAACAGGCUGAUACCGCCCAAGAGUUCAUAUCGACGGCGGUGUUUGGCACCUCGAUGUCGGCUCAUCACAUCCUGGGGCUGAAGUAGGUCCCAAGGGUAUGGCUGUUCGCCAUUUAAAGUGGUACGCGAGCUGGGUUUAGAACGUCGUGAGACAGUUCGGUCCCUAUCUGCCGUGGGCGCUGGAGAACUGAGGGGGGCUGCUCCUAGUACGAGAGGACCGGAGUGGACGCAUCACUGGUGUUCGGGUUGUCAUGCCAAUGGCACUGCCCGGUAGCUAAAUGCGGAAGAGAUAAGUGCUGAAAGCAUCUAAGCACGAAACUUGCCCCGAGAUGAGUUCUCCCUGACUCCUUGAGAGUCCUGAAGGAACGUUGAAGACGACGACGUUGAUAGGCCGGGUGUGUAAGCGCAGCGAUGCGUUGAGCUAACCGGUACUAAUGAACCGUGAGGCUUAACCUU